UUACCUUGUGCGACUUCACCCAGUCUGAAUCCUACCGUGGUAAUCGCCCCUCGCGCGGUUGAAACUAACUAGCUAUGGUAAGAGCCACUCGCAUAGUGUAACAGGCCCGAGUGGCCAGCGCGGAACCCAGGGCAAUAUUCCGCCGCGACGCUUUAAUCACCGAUUACUAUGAUUGCGACUUCCACGCGGUCAGUUUACGAACUGCGAUCCAGACUGAUCGGGUUUCAAGUUGGCUCCCCCUCGCAGGUUGGCGACCCUAUAUGCGACCGUUGUAUAACGUGUAAGCCCUACCGCAGGGCCACGCGGGACAACUCAUCCCCACCUUCCUCAAUUUGUCACUGGCGAUCUCGUCAGUGCCUUUCCUUAGCAGCUAAUGACAAGGGUUGCUCGUUGCCAGGACUUAACCAACAUCUCGACACGAGCUGACGACAGCCAUACGCUUUUCCUGUGUUUCAGUUCUCUUGCGAACUUUACUCCAAAUCUCUUCGGGUUUAGACAGCAUCGGGAGUAAGGUAAGGUUUUCGCGCGUUGCAUCGGAAUUAAUCCGCAUCAUCCGCGCAGCGCGGGUCCCCGUCGGUGGCACGGGUUUUAAUCUUACGGCAAGUACUCCCAAACUGAUCAACUUCGCGUUAGCUGCCUACCGGGCAAAGGCCUGACAGCUGGUUGACUUUAUCGUUUGGGGGCGUAGACUACCAGGGUAUCUAAUCCUGUUUGCUCCGCUUUCGUUGCGCGAGCGUCGGUCGAUAUUCCAUCCCAGAGAACUGCCCUUCGCCAUCAGUGUUCACUCCAUAUCUACGCAUUUCACUACGCGAAUUCACCUCCCUCUGACUUACCCACUCUAAGCUCAAUAAUUAAAAAUGCAGUUCAAGGGUUAAGCUCUGGGAUUCACAUCUUUCUUUUCCGAACACGCCUACCCUUACCGCUUUGCGCCAGUAAUUCCGUUAACGCGCACCUACAAUAUUGCCAGCAGCUACUGGCACGUCAAUUUAACCGGUGUGAUACACAGGUGCCGUCGAGUUUGCACGGGGUAAUGUCCCCGUGCCCGUUUCUUUCCACCCUUAAAGUUAUUUCUGACCGAGGCCUUCAUCACCCCACACAUAGAGGAUAGCUGGAUCAGGGUUUCCCCAUUGUCCAAAAUUCCCCACUGCUGCCUCCGUAGGAGUCUGGGCGUGUCUCGGUCCCAGUGGCUUCGGUCGUCCUCUCAAAACAGCUACGGAUCGUCGCCUUGGUGAGCCGUUACCCCACCAGCUAGCUAAUCCGAUAUCCAGCCAUACAAUUGCGAGGCGAAAGGGUCCCCGCUUUCCCCCGAAGGGCUUCGUAUGCAGUAAUGGCUACGCUUUCGCGCCAGGUUAUCCCCGCUACCGGCACGUUCCGAUACAUUACUCACCGUUCGCCACUCGCCACCAAGACCGAAGUCCGAUGCUG
Molecule: ribosomal RNA, 1425 nt
Filed under: uncultured Bordetella sp.
Lineage: Bacteria; Pseudomonadati; Pseudomonadota; Betaproteobacteria; Burkholderiales; Alcaligenaceae
Description: partial 16S-23S ribosomal RNA intergenic spacer
Source: RNAcentral